This 392-nucleotide ribosomal RNA is filed under the name uncultured bacterium. RNAcentral's name for it is "bacterial SSU rRNA". It matches the Rfam family "Bacterial small subunit ribosomal RNA", at positions 28 to 419 of the family's 1533-position model. The record is from RNAcentral.
GACGAACGCUGGCGGCGUGCUUAACACAUGCAAGUCGAGCGGUAAGGCCCUUUCGGGGGUACGACGAGCGGCGAACGGGUGAGUAACACGUGGGUGACCUGCCCUCAGCUCUGGGAUAAGCCUGGGAAACCGGGUACUAAUACCGGAUAUGACUCCAUGACGCAUGUUGUGGGGUGGAAAGCCUUGUGCGGCUGAGGAUGGGCCCGCGGCCUAUCAGCUUGUUGGUGGGGUGAUGGCCUACCAAGGCGACGACGGGUAGCCGGCCUGAGAGGGCGACCGGCCACACUGGGACUGAGACACGGCCCAGACUCCUACGGGAGGCAGCAGUGGGGAAUCUUGCGCAAUGGGCGAAAGCCUGACGCAGCGACGCCGCGUGAGGGAUGACGGCCUGG